RNAcentral lists this long non-coding RNA (214 nucleotides) under Lathyrus oleraceus (garden pea). Its description in RNAcentral is "Pisum sativum (pea) long non-coding RNA (PSAT_LNC004873)". The record is from RNAcentral. Lineage: Eukaryota; Viridiplantae; Streptophyta; Magnoliopsida; Fabales; Fabaceae.
AGAUUGGAUAUUCGGGUUGUCAUCCAUCAAUCAGAAUUCGGCUAGGACAUCAGAUCUACUAAUCAAAAUCCGGCCAGGAUAUCCGAGUAAGCAAGGUGGAGCUAACCUCCCAUAAAGUCGAGAAUGGUCCAACUAGUACAAGUCGGAUCCGAUGACAAGGUCGGGAUGUCAUUUGAAGAGUCAUAAGAAACAGUUAUAGGGUGAUACAUUUUGG